UUGAAGGGCAAAUCUGGUGCCAGCAGCCGCGGUAAUUCCAGCUCCAAUAGCGUAUAUUAAAGUUGUUGCAGUUAAAAAGCUCGUAGUUGAAUUUCGGGAUCAAUAUGUCGGUCGUGCCUCCGGUACGUACUGGCGUCAUUGGUUUCUCCCUUCUGAUGAACUACGAUGUCAUUAAUUUGGUGUCAUGGGGAAUCAGGACUGUUACUUUGAAAAAAUUAGAGUGUUUAAAGCAGGCUCACGCUUGAAUACAUUAGCAUGGAAUAAUGAAAUAGGACGUUUGAUUCUAUUUUGUUGGUUUCUAGGAUCGACGUAAUGAUUAAUAGGGAUAGUUGGGGGCAUUAGUAUUCAAUUGUCAGAGGUGAAAUUCUUGGAUUUAUUGAAGACUAACUACUGCGAAAGCAUUUGCCAAGGAUGUUUUCAUUAAUCAAGAACGAAAGUUAGGGGAUCGAAGACGAUCAGAUACCGUCGUAGUCUUAACCAUAAACUAUGCCGACUAGGGAUCGGAUGAUGUUAAUUUUUUAAUGACUCAUUCGGCACCUUACGGGAAAC
This 549-nucleotide ribosomal RNA is filed under the name uncultured Glomus. RNAcentral's name for it is "SSU rRNA". It matches the Rfam family "Eukaryotic small subunit ribosomal RNA", at positions 548 to 1098 of the family's 1831-position model. The record is from RNAcentral. Lineage: Eukaryota; Fungi; Glomeromycota; Glomeromycetes; Glomerales; Glomeraceae.